ACUUUAAUAGCUUAUUUUUAGAGCGUGAUAUUGAAGAUAUCAAAGAGAUUUUGAAUCUUAAAGUA
This 65-nucleotide transfer RNA is filed under the name Agriotes sp. GTI-28. Its description in RNAcentral is "tRNA-Phe". Lineage: Eukaryota; Metazoa; Arthropoda; Insecta; Coleoptera; Elateridae. The record is from RNAcentral.